UACGCCCGAUCUCGUCCGAUCUCGGACGCUAAGCAGGGUCGGGCCUGGUUAGUACUUGGAUGGGAGACCGCCUGGGAAUACCAGGUGCUGUAAGCUU
This 97-nucleotide ribosomal RNA is filed under the name Halobatrachus didactylus (Lusitanian toadfish). Lineage: Eukaryota; Metazoa; Chordata; Actinopteri; Batrachoidiformes; Batrachoididae. The record is from RNAcentral.